UGAUGCGGUAGUGUCAAGAUUCAAGGUCGCUCGUUUAAUUGGAGGAAGUAAUUCAUUGGUUACGGAAGGAGCGUAUGAAAAAAGGAAUAACAGAAAAGCUGAUUAUUGGUUUGCUCAAAAUCAACUGAAAAUGCAUAUAGAAAGUGUCGUAGUUUAAUUAACUCGAUGAAUUCCUUAAGUAAGUAUUUACACGUUAGAUUGAGUUAACAACACGGUUGGCAAGUGUUGGAUGAUUCAACUGUGUAGGAGAGAAUUCUGGGAUGAGUCAGGGGAACCCGUUAUUGCAUUCCUUUCCAGAACGGGCAAAAUUAUGCGACCUUGAAAUGUGACUGUCUUCGUUCGCAAGAUGACACUGGUCUAACAAUGCAAUGUAAAGAAAUAGGACCAAAAAAAGAAAAAGAAAAAGAAAAAGAAAAAAUGUAAGUAAAAACUAGAUCGACUAGUUUGAUCGAGGCUGAGGCUAACUACAUCGAUAGGAUCUCAUUGCAUUGAUGACCUUGUCGUGGCUUUCACGAUUACUUGCCCACCCAGAAUUAAUGCCUAGGGUCUUUCGAUUAAAACGUAACGUUCUAUCCAUCUUGGCUUUUAAUGCUGUGUUGGUUGAUGAGAUUGGAUAGACCAUAUCAACGUAAAUAGAAUGAUUUAGCAUCGUUAAGGACAAAUUCCAGAAUUGCUAAUGCACAAAUUAUCUCGUUAAAUUAUUACCAAGACUUAAUGAGAAAUUAUUCGACUAAUUUACUUGAUCUAAGUGCAACAUUGCGGAAGACAUUUUUGUCUAAUAAUUGGAUGGAUAAAAAAAGUUGGAAAGAUUCGAACACAUUCGAAUACAUCGAUGUCAAU
Molecule: long non-coding RNA, 840 nt
Organism: Polistes dominula (European paper wasp)
Lineage: Eukaryota; Metazoa; Arthropoda; Insecta; Hymenoptera; Vespidae
Source: RefSeq, a predicted model, not a curated record